This 252-nucleotide long non-coding RNA is filed under the name Octopus sinensis (East Asian common octopus). RNAcentral describes it as "uncharacterized LOC115227500, transcript variant X1". The record is from RNAcentral. Lineage: Eukaryota; Metazoa; Mollusca; Cephalopoda; Octopoda; Octopodidae.
AGGCUCCAAAGUGUGAGGACAGGUGUGUAACACAGAGGCUACAUGUCAGGAAUUAGGGGCUACAUCUCAGGCAAUUGGGGCUCCAAAGUGUGAGGACAGGUGUGUACAAACAGAGGCUACAUGUCAGGAAUUAGGGGCUGCAUCUCAGGCAAUUGGUGCUCCAAAGUUUGAGGACAGGUGUGUACAAACAGAGGCUACAUGUCAGGAAUUAGGGGCUGCAUCUCAGGCAAUAGGUGAGUCUCCAAAGUGUGA